This 74-nucleotide transfer RNA is filed under the name Blumeria graminis f. sp. tritici 96224. RNAcentral's name for it is "tRNA-Asp (GTC) (tRNA-Asp-GTC-3-1)". It matches the Rfam family "tRNA". From Rfam's summary of the family: Transfer RNA (tRNA) molecules are approximately 80 nucleotides in length. Lineage: Eukaryota; Fungi; Ascomycota; Leotiomycetes; Helotiales; Erysiphaceae. The record is from RNAcentral.
UCUUUGAUGGUCUAACGGUUAUGAUUUCCGCUUGUCACGCGGGAGACCGGGGUUCUACUCCCCGUCAGGUAGAU